AUGGCUUCCAUCAAUGUUUUGUCAUUCAUGAUACCACUUCUACUCAUAACUUUUUCAUCAAUGGCAAAUGUUGAAGGGUCACGUAACCUUCAAAGCAUACAUGAAGUUUCCAAAGCUGAAUUGCCAUCACUACCAAUACCUAAUCUGCCAAAUCUGCCAGCACUACCAGCACAGCCACAAUUGCCAGCACUACCCGCACUUCCUGCACAGCCACAAUUGCCAACAAUUCCAAACUUAGGUCUUCCUAAUAUUCCUGGAAUUCCACAGAUUCCUAAGCCAUAA
This is a non-coding RNA of Vicia faba (fava bean), 282 nucleotides long. Lineage: Eukaryota; Viridiplantae; Streptophyta; Magnoliopsida; Fabales; Fabaceae. The record is from the annotation of a GenBank genome assembly.